AGGAGGAAGCUGGGGCCGCCGUCGGGCCUUCUCCCUCCAGGGGCCCAAGAGCCACUGGUACUCAGUGUCUGGGUGGGGGCAGGGGGGAUUUUUGUUCUCCCAGCACCUGCGGCUGUUGAGACCAGAGAAGCUGGUGGUCGACCACAGCCUGGGGUAUUAGUUCACCCCUAGCUUCUCCCCAGCGAGACCCCAGGGCCCUUGGGCACAGGGGAUUAAGCCUCUAUCUGCUUACGUGCAAGCGGAAGAAAUAGGCCCAGAGAGCAACAGUGGCGGGUCUGCAGUCACACAGCCAACUUGCGCUUGUGGCAGUGGCAAGGUUGGUGAGUAUCUGAGUCUUCAGGCCACGGCAUUUUCCGCUCGAGUGGAGCCUGAAGUUCUGAGGGUACCCCUCACUCAAGCUCCAGGCGUCAGGAAAAGAACAUUCCACGAAGUCCAUCUGGAAGACGGUCCUUUCCCUGCUGCCCCCAGCUUCUAGAACAUUCCCUGGAACACAGCAAGUGUUCAGUAUUGUUCAUGG
RNAcentral lists this long non-coding RNA (517 nucleotides) under Homo sapiens (human). RNAcentral's name for it is "non-protein coding lnc-PLCG2-1:17". The record is from RNAcentral. Lineage: Eukaryota; Metazoa; Chordata; Mammalia; Primates; Hominidae.